Molecule: transfer RNA, 72 nt
Filed under: Camelus bactrianus (Bactrian camel)
Lineage: Eukaryota; Metazoa; Chordata; Mammalia; Artiodactyla; Camelidae
Also listed under: 2 other names
Rfam family: tRNA
About the family: Transfer RNA (tRNA) molecules are approximately 80 nucleotides in length. Their secondary structure includes four short double-helical elements and three loops (D, anti-codon, and T loops). Further hydrogen bonds mediate the characteristic L-shaped molecular structure. tRNAs have two regions of fundamental functional importance: the anti-codon, which is responsible for specific mRNA codon recognition, and the 3' end, to which the tRNAs corresponding amino acid is attached (by aminoacyl-tRNA synthetases). tRNAs cope with the degeneracy of the genetic code in two manners: having more than one tRNA (with a specific anti-codon) for a particular amino acid; and 'wobble' base-pairing, i.e. permitting non-standard base-pairing at the 3rd anti-codon position.
Source: Rfam by way of RNAcentral
GAGGAUAUAGCUCAGUGGUAGAAUGUGUGCUUAGCAUGCAUGAGGUCCUGGGUUCAAUCCCCAGUACCUCCA